GAUGCCUUUUGAAUUAUCUAAUAAAGGAUUCAAGACCAUGUUCAGGUCACCUCCUAUCAAAAUUAGGCCUUCAGCAAAGGCUUCUAAAGUCCGUAGCAAUUUGAGUAAAUAAUCAGCCUGGUGUGUAUUAGGAAGGUAGACACUUCCUAACGUGCAUUUGGUAUUGAAUAAAGUGCCCUUAGUAAAUACAUACCGACCUUCCUCAUCUUUAAUAGUAGCAGAACUAUGGUAGGUAAUAUGCUUAUGUAUGCCAAUCGCCACACCUUUAGUUUUAGUAUCGGGAUUGUUGCUUAAAAACCAUUGUGAGUAAUUACUAAAUUUCUCUAGUACAUUAUCUUGUCCUCUAAGAUGGGUUUCUUGUAACAUUAAUAUGUGUGCUUUUUGCUUAUACAUUUCCCUAAACAGUUUACUCCUUUUUUCAGGAAUGUUCAGCCCAUUGAUAUUCAAGGAUAUUACAUUAACUUCAGCCAUUGUUAAUCAGGUGUGGAUACGUCAGUCCAGCUUUCCUUAUCGGGCAAUUCCGGGAUAGCAGGAGCCAAUAACUUACAGAUUCGCUGUCGGACUCAUCAGCGGGACUUCUAGCACGCCGUGGCGCCAUCUUGGAUCCCUGACGACACUGUUCAGAGUCUGUCGAUGUGAAGAACUGCU
Xenopus laevis (African clawed frog) is the source of this 648-nucleotide long non-coding RNA. RefSeq lists it as uncharacterized. NCBI's taxonomy places the organism in Eukaryota, Metazoa, Chordata, Amphibia, Anura, Pipidae. The transcript has 3 exons. The record is from RefSeq and is a predicted model, not a curated record.